UACGAAAGGUGCAAGCGUUACUCGGAAUCACUGGGCGUAAAGCGCACGUAGGCGGACUCGUAGGUCAGUUGUGAAAUACCUGGGCUCAACCCGGGAACUGCAGCUGAAACCGCUUGUCUUGAAUACCUGAGAGGGUGGGGGAAUACCUGGUGGAGAAGUGAAAUUCGUAGAGAUCAGGUGGAACACCGGAGGCGAAGGCGGUUCUCUGGGCCUGUACUGACGCUGAGGAACGAAAGCGUGGGGAGCGAACAGG
Molecule: ribosomal RNA, 253 nt
Filed under: uncultured bacterium
Lineage: Bacteria
Description: partial 16S ribosomal RNA
Rfam family: Bacterial small subunit ribosomal RNA
Source: RNAcentral